RNAcentral lists this long non-coding RNA (199 nucleotides) under Oryctolagus cuniculus (rabbit). RNAcentral's name for it is "lncRNA (ENSOCUG00000034989.1)". The record is from RNAcentral. Lineage: Eukaryota; Metazoa; Chordata; Mammalia; Lagomorpha; Leporidae.
UUCCACUGAGGACUGCACUCAGAUGUAUCAUUCUUGUUUUUGCUUGGAGGGAUAUUAAAAGAACCACUGUCCAACAGUGUAAAAACACCUGACUACUUCAUGCUUAGAAGAGAAAGUGCUGAGAUUUGGGAUCCCUCUCAAAGCCAAUCAGAUGUGGGGUAAGAGAGUGGUUUUUGACACUUUGGAAGAAAUUUGCUCU